UACGAGUGCCCCGAGCGUUAUCCGGAAUCAUUGGGCGUAAAGGGUGUGUAGGUGGUCAGAUUAGUCUUGUGUUAAAUUCUUCGGCUUAACCGGGGGCAUGCAUAGGAAACGGUCUGACUUGAGGGUGCGAGAGGUCUGUGGAACUCAUGGUGUAGGGGUGAAAUCCGUUGAUAUCAUGGGGAACACCAAAAGCGAAGGCAGCAGACUGUCGCAUUCCUGACACUGAAACACUAAAGCGUGGGUAGCGAAUGGG
This 253-nucleotide ribosomal RNA is filed under the name uncultured bacterium. Its description in RNAcentral is "partial 16S ribosomal RNA". It matches the Rfam family "Bacterial small subunit ribosomal RNA", at positions 524 to 776 of the family's 1533-position model. The record is from RNAcentral.